Molecule: long non-coding RNA, 519 nt
Organism: Mustela putorius furo (domestic ferret)
Lineage: Eukaryota; Metazoa; Chordata; Mammalia; Carnivora; Mustelidae
Source: Ensembl
UGGUGGCAGGUGUGAUAACACCCAGGUAACAGAGGGAGGAGACAGACCUUCCAGAAAGGCGGGAGGCUCCCAGUGAAUCUGAAAACCUGAAUGUCCAGACAGGCAAGUGACUGCGGGGGUGUUUGUUAUUCAUCAUGGAACUCCUCCAGGACCUGGCGAAUAGAGGACAUGGGAUUUCACCAAGAAGGGGACUCCAUCCCAGGGCAAGGUGAAGGCUUUGGCAUUGAAAGUGGACGAGGAAUUGGACACCGAGGACAGCCAUGGGAAUGGAAGGCAACAGAUGGAAGAAGGAAGCUGGACUCAUCUGAGCGCCUACUCUGUGCCACUUCCAGGCAAAAUGUCAGCAGUUCCAGCAAAAUCAUCAGGAAGAAACAUGGUCUUGAAUCUGAAAACUUUCAAGCCGGAAGGGAAGCUAGAAACCACAUGGUCUAGUCUUCUCUUACUCAACUUGCCCAGAGUCCCCGAGCUUUGGAAUAGUUUUUCUUUCUAGGAAAGCCAUUGUCCUAUAAUAAAUCUCCU